This 520-nucleotide ribosomal RNA is filed under the name uncultured Bacillota bacterium. Its description in RNAcentral is "bacterial SSU rRNA". It matches the Rfam family "Bacterial small subunit ribosomal RNA", at positions 384 to 896 of the family's 1533-position model. The record is from RNAcentral. Lineage: Bacteria; Bacillati; Bacillota.
UGACGGAGCAACGCCGCGUGAGUGAUGAAGGUUUUCGGAUCGUAAACUCUGUGUUAGGGAAGAACAAGUACCGUUCGAAUAGGGCGGUACCUUGACGGUACCUAACCAGAAAGCCACGGCUAACUACGUGCCAGCAGCCGCGGUAAUACGUAGGUGGCAAGCGUUGUCCGGAAUUAUUGGGCGUAAAGCGCGCGCAGGUGGUUUCUUAAGUCUGAUGUGAAAGCCCACGGCUCAACCGUGGAGGGUCAUUGGAAACUGGGGAACUUGAGUGCAGAAGAGGAAAGUGGAAUUCCAAGUGUAGCGGUGAAAUGCGUAGAUAUUUGGAGGAACACCAGUGGCGAAGGCGACUUUCUGGUCUGUAACUGACACUGAGGCGCGAAAGCGUGGGGAGCAAACAGGAUUAGAUACCCUGGUAGUCCACGCCGUAAACGAUGAGUGCUAAGUGUUAGAGGGUUUCCGCCCUUUAGUGCUGCAGCUAACGCAUUAAGCACUCCGCCUGGGGAGUACGGUCGCAAGACUG